CGCGAGGCAGUCUAAGGGCGAUGGACGCUGCCAGUAGGUUGGUCAAAUGGUUGGACGGAGUAAUUACCCGAAAGAUCUGAUUGGCUCUGGCAGAGGUGAGUGGUUCGAAUCCCUCCCUCGCGA
RNAcentral lists this transfer RNA (123 nucleotides) under Caudoviricetes sp. RNAcentral's name for it is "tRNA-Leu". The record is from RNAcentral. Lineage: Duplodnaviria; Heunggongvirae; Uroviricota; Caudoviricetes.